GUCCUGGUUCAUUAGGACACAUAAUAAAUUAGGAACGAUACAGAGAAGACUAGCAUGGAUGACACGCUUCAGUUCCUCCUUUUU
Small nuclear RNA from Xiphophorus maculatus (southern platyfish), 84 nucleotides. The record is from Ensembl. Lineage: Eukaryota; Metazoa; Chordata; Actinopteri; Cyprinodontiformes; Poeciliidae.